RNAcentral lists this ribosomal RNA (435 nucleotides) under uncultured bacterium. Its description in RNAcentral is "partial 16S ribosomal RNA". It matches the Rfam family "Bacterial small subunit ribosomal RNA", at positions 29 to 507 of the family's 1533-position model. The record is from RNAcentral.
AGCGAACGCUGGCGGCAGGCUUAACACAUGCAAGUCGAGCGGGCACUUUCGGGUGUCAGCGGCGGACGGGUGAGUAAUGCGUGGGAACGUGCGCUCUGGUUCGGAAUAAAUCAGGGAAACUUGAGCUAAUACCGGAUACGCCCUUUUGGGGAAAGGAUUGCUGCCGGAGGAUCGGCCCGCGUCUGAUUCGCUAGUUGGUGAGGUAACGGCUUACCAAGGCGACGAUCAGUAGCUGGUCUGAGAGGAUGAUCAGCCACACUGGGACGGAGCCACGGCCCAGCCUCCUACAGGAGGCAGCAGUGGAGAAUAUUAGACAAUGCGCGCAAGCCUGAUCCCACCAUGCCGCGUGAGUGAUGAAGGCCUUAGGAUUAUAAACCUCUUUUAUCCGGUACGAUAAUAACGGUACCAGAGAAAUAAGCCCCGGCUAACUUCGUG